GUAGGACUACCCGCUGAACUUAAGCAUAUCAAUAAGCGGAGGAAAAGAAACUAACAAGGAUUCCCCUAGUAACUGCGAGUGAAGCGGGAAAAGCUCAAAUUUAAAAUCUGGCGGUCUUUGGCCGUCCGAGUUGUAGUCUGGAGAAGCGUCUUCCGCGUUGGACCGUGUACAAGUCUCUUGGAACAGAGCGUCAUAGAGGGUGAGAAUCCCGUCUUUGACACGGACUACCAAUGCUUUGUGAUGCGCUCUCAAAGAGUCGCGUUGUUUGGGAAUGCAGCGCAAAAUGGGAGGUGAAUUCCUUCUAAAGCUAAAUAUUGGCGAGAGACCGAUAGCGAACAAGUACCGUGAGGGAAAGAUGAAAAGCACUUUGGAAAGAGAGUUAAACAGUACGUGAAAUUGCUAAAAGGGAAACGCUUGAAGUCAGUCGCGUCGUCCGGAACUCAGCUUUGCUUCGGCUUAGUGCACUUUCCGGUUGACGGGCCAGCAUCGAUUUUGACCGCUGGAAAAGGGCUGGAGGAAUGUGGCACCUUCGGGUGUGUUAUAGCCUUCAGUCGCAUACAGCGGUUGGGAUCGAGGAACGCAGCGCGCCUUAUGGCUGGGGUUCGCCCACAUUCGCGCUUAGGAUGCUGGCAUAAUGGCUUUAAACGACCCGUCUUGAAACACGGACCAAGGAGUCUAACAUGCCUGCGAGUGUUUGGGUGGG
RNAcentral lists this ribosomal RNA (703 nucleotides) under Trametes versicolor. RNAcentral's name for it is "eukaryotic LSU rRNA". It matches the Rfam family "Eukaryotic large subunit ribosomal RNA", at positions 15 to 702 of the family's 3401-position model. Lineage: Eukaryota; Fungi; Basidiomycota; Agaricomycetes; Polyporales; Polyporaceae. The record is from RNAcentral.